UACAGAGGUGGCAAGCGUUGUUCGGAAUUACUGGGCGUAAAGGGCGCGUAGGCGGCCAUCUAAGUCAGACGUGAAAUCCCCCGGCUUAACCUGGGAACUGCGUCUGAUACUGGAAGGCUCGAGUUUGGGAGAGGGAUGUGGAAUUCCAGGUGUAGCGGUGAAAUGCGUAGAUAUCUGGAGGAACACCGGUGGCGAAGGCGGCAUCCUGGACCAACACUGACGCUGAGGCGCGAAAGUUAGGGGAGCAAACGGG
RNAcentral lists this ribosomal RNA (253 nucleotides) under uncultured bacterium. Its description in RNAcentral is "partial 16S ribosomal RNA". It matches the Rfam family "Bacterial small subunit ribosomal RNA", at positions 524 to 776 of the family's 1533-position model. The record is from RNAcentral.